Long non-coding RNA from Myxocyprinus asiaticus (Chinese sucker), 856 nucleotides. RefSeq lists it as uncharacterized. The record is from RefSeq and is a predicted model, not a curated record. Lineage: Eukaryota; Metazoa; Chordata; Actinopteri; Cypriniformes; Catostomidae. The transcript is spliced from 3 exons.
GUAAGUCUGGAAUUACUAACGACUCGUUUCAGGUGUUCAGAAUCGGUUCUUUCUUUUGGGAGUCAAUAACUCCAUUUGUCGUGCACUUUGAUUUUUGAAACUUUGCAGACUUUUUCAGACUUUACGUUUCGUUUGCAAAUCUACAGUAUAUUAAACGUUUGUCUGCAUGAGGCUAAUUAGUUGUGUACAUCUUCACAGUUGAACAAACACAACGGAGCCGCUCUUCAGGGCCUUCACUCCGCAAACAACAGGUCAUUCCACUGAUUUAUGAACCGGAGAGAUCUUCAGCUGCUGCUCAGGUGUCACUCACGUGGCAGAAACUCAACAGGCAACAGGAAGAGGAGCUUGACCAAGCACAGAAAGGAGCAGAUGCCUUCAGUGCUUUGGAGCAGGAAGAUCGAAAGUUGCCUUUCAACCCCCUGGAUGUAUUGAUUGUCCUUGAAAAUGAGCUGGGGACAUUUGUCAAAACUUGGGUCAGUGCACUGACUUUUUGGACUACUUUAUGCCCUUCACAUCAGCUACCCAAAGAAGCUGACACAUGUUCUUUCUUUUUUUGAGGUCAUACAGUAAAUGGUGUUGCAUCUUGAUGAUGGCAAUGUCUGGCCAAUUUGAAAAGAUCUUUUGCAUGAAUAGUUUCAUUUAUACAUACAAACUGUUUCUGGUGUUUUUGUUACAGUAUUAGUUCAGAGAGUUUUCUCCUACAUGCAUAUGUUUCUGCAGUGUGCAGUCUGUUAAAAUGCAUUUUGAAUUGUGUUUAUUUAGAUUUACUUAAAUUCUUGCAUAGCCCACUUGUUUUUUUGUUUAUCGUCAUGAUUGUGUUACUAUUUUUGUAUUUGAGAACAUAUUGUGGUUCUAG